Molecule: transfer RNA, 64 nt
Filed under: unidentified
Description: Chlorophila portschinski tRNA-Pro
Source: RNAcentral
UCAAGAGUUAGUUUAUUUAAAAUAUUGAUUUUGGGGAUCAGCGAUGGGGUUACCUAUUCUUGAA